GACGGUUAGUUAUCGAUCGGUCAUGUGACUCAACAUGGCGCCAUCAAGAGGAAUAAUCUCGCACAUAAACAAAACAGCUUUGGUCUUCAGUCUUCACUUAUUCAUAGCAUCUCUCUGCCUUGCUGCAUGAAUCAUGGGUAGGAGUGCAGGGGAGCGGAGAGAACGCCGCACUGUGAAGAUCGCCCAUGGCACACCUGUUUUAACUCGGUGCUAUCCAUCAUAGAGCCACUGCCCGCUGCAGGCCAGACGAGACAGCUGUCCUUCAGGUCCUCUCCUCGUCUGCGCAUCUGCCCUGCAACAGGUGAGAAGAACAUGUAACGCUAUAUGUAGGACACUGACCCAAACUGCUUGACCUCUGGUAAGGGCGGUCAAAGGUCAACUCACUUGACAUCUCUGCCCACAUCUUACUGAUGAGCACACUCGGACCCAUCGGAUGAGUGCUUCAGCACACAUCUGUGCGUGUGAGACAAACAAUAUCAAGUGCGGGCGUAAAAUGACACAUGGAAGUAAUCUGUUCAUCUCUGCUCUGGGCAAGAGGCAUUUUUAAUUUCACUGGAGGAUAAAAAGCCAGCGGCAGAGCUCCAUCCAUUUUGUACGGUGCCUUAAUUUCACACAGCCCACAGAAAAAUUGGCAGUCGAUUUGUUUUUUGAAGAUCCCUCCAUUGAUAGUAAUUAAAUUUGCUCUUGUCUCUCGUUUUUUUCUCUUUUCUCCAUAUCUCCUCCUCUCUUCCCCAUCUGUAUGCCUCUACUCCCUCUUCUCAUUCUCAUUCGCCAUCAUCCCUCACUGUCACGCGGCCGCUCCGAGCCAUCGACCUCUGCUCUCAGCCCCGGUUCAGCAGCGGGUCACCGGAGGGAGGGGGGCUCGUGUUAUUGGGGGGUGCCAGCUUCCUUCCCUCGCCACAGAUACAGCUGCUGCUGCCAUGGCAACUGGAUUGCAGACUGCGCAAGGACCCGCGUGCAGAUACUUGCAGAGACUUACAGAGAAAGACGCUCUAAUGGUGUGUUACAGGGCCCCGUUGUGCUUUAAAGCAGGUUUAACCGCGUAAGUGAAAAUGAUGUGGGACAACCUUAGGCAAUGACUUUUAUGUUUUAUUUGCUGCUCAGUACAGUCUAUUCCGAUAGGGUUUAGGUUUGGGAACAUUCCUUUCCUUUAUGGGAUCGGAACAGAGUUUGGUUGGUAAUUGUUGGAUUGUAAUCUAAUAUUAGUUAUGUCAUGUGGUUCUUGGUUUGAUUUUAGGGAUGCACUGUUAUUUCAACUCUGGCCUAUACCAGUUGAUAAUAAUUUUUAUGUUGUUGUGAUGAUAACUGACAAAUUGCCAAUAUUAAAAUCUA
Long non-coding RNA from Onychostoma macrolepis, 1332 nucleotides. RefSeq lists it as uncharacterized. NCBI's taxonomy places the organism in Eukaryota, Metazoa, Chordata, Actinopteri, Cypriniformes, Cyprinidae. The record is from RefSeq and is a predicted model, not a curated record. The transcript has 3 exons.